GUGCGCAGAGGGGCGGGCACGUGGGGCCGCGCGGCGGGUCGCGCGGGCGGCCGUUGGUCGAAGGCGGGAGCGGCACGCGCGGAGUUGUGAGGGCGGCUCGUGCGUGAGGCGGCUCCUCCGGCCCCGCGGGGACCGGCUGCUGCCGCACGGGGCUCCGCGCUCCUCCGCGCUCCUUUGCACUCCUCCGCGCUCCUCCAGGCUCCUCCGGGCUCCUUUGCACUCCUCCGGGCUCCUCCGCGCUCCUCCGGGCUGCUCUGCCCUGCAGAGCUGGCGCAGGAGGAAGGGACUGCGAUCCUGUGUGCUGAGCGGACAUGCAGGACGAGCUGCACGGAGGAGCCUGUGGCUCUGGCCAGCCCGUGGCUGCGGGAGCAGGAUAGGAGCCGUCAUUUAAGCACCAAGAAGUACGUUGUCCAGCCGGCGAGAAGCAGCGCCCCGACCAGCACAGUGUAACUGAACAGCACAAAGGCCAGGAGCUCCUUGAGCACCUUGAGGAAGUGGAUGGUGAAGGAAUCCGGCAUGGCUCUGCGGCAGGUAGGGGGUCUGUGGGGCUGGCUGCCGCUGUGUUCCUGCCCAGUCUGCAAGCAAAGGGACAGGAUGAGUCUUUCUGAGCAAGGAGACUGCAGAGCGGAGGGAAUGGCUCCGCUGUGGGGAGAAAUGGUUGUGUUCAGGAGCGUUAAUGUCCUCCUGUCCCUCUAAGAAGGUUGCUAGUGUCAGCUUGGACUUGCAUGUGCUUGCUCAGAGUCCUGUACAGGGUUGCUGAGUUGCGCAGUGUUGAAAGAGAGUUUGGGAUCUGAUCAAAGUCUCCAAAUCAGGGCUGGUAACUAAGCAAAGUAAAAUAUAGACACCCAGGCAGUGGACGCUGCCGUGUCGGUGGGGACCAGAGACCCUUCCAGAGUCCGGCUGGCUAUCUACCCCCCCGUGUUAGCGACUGCACAUCUAGAGCUUCCCGGUCGGAGCCAUGGCUGAUGGUGCAUUACCAGCUGCGUUCUGAUCAAAGUGGUCAAUUUCUCCAAGGAAGCCACCAUUAAUAUUUAAUGAUAUAAUUGCAUCUAAUGGAGAUACUGGCACAAACUGUGCAUUUUGUUUAAGAAUGAUGAUAACUGAGGCUCAAGUACAAGUUUGCACAGGCAAAUAUUUAUAUCUCACAUUAAAAAUAACCUUUAAAUGGGAGCCACAGGAUAAGAUGCUUUAGAAUUCAUCUUCUAGCUGUAUUUUAAAGUCACACACAUCGCUUUAGAAGUGGCUGCUCAUUUGUUAGUUUAAUAUAAAAUCUGAACUCUCACAAAAGUUGUUGGCUCAUGAGACUUAAAAGCUGUGAAGGCGCAUCUAAAAAAAUCUACUGUUUCUCCAAUUUACAUGUUCUUUUAAUUUGGAUUAUAACUCUGCCUGGUCAAAAAUAUACACACUCUUGGUCAAGCACAUGAAACUAGACUUAACAUAAAGCUACUCUAAAAGGAUUAUUUAUUUUCUAAGCAAUCUGAAGUCAGCUGCAGUAAACUGAAUUCCCAUCCUGCCACUUAGAAUAUUUUUUUAAAGAGCUGUUGUGAUAAAGAGUUCACUUUUCGGUAUUGUUAAAGAGUUCAGUAAUUUCAUUCUAAGCUCAGGCACGUGUAUAUAUUGUAGGAGCUAUUGCAUUCUAAAAGCAGCCAUGGUUUCCUGGUUACUCAAAGCAUUGGAGUAUAUUUAUAGGCUUUAUGUGAUUUCUGAUUAUUUAAAAAGAUGUUGAUAAAGAAAUAAACUUACCAAGGCAGAUGAUGGGCUCUACUUUGUGAAGUUCCUAUUUCUCUCUAGUUUUGUUCCCGUGAAUUUCUGGCUUCUGGUCGGUUUGUGCUGUAGAUCAAUGCCCUUCUGCUCCGCUUGGCCGGGAGCGGGGAGUGAUGAGGUUGUGUUUGCAGCCCACGGGAGGGCUAAUGCACUAGGUGUGGUCAGGACAGUUCUGAUAUGACAUAGCGCCUUUGUGCAGCACAGCAGAGCACGCCAAACAGCUCCCCUUCUGUGCUUCUGUCAACAGUGUCUGGUGAAUUUAAGUGCCAUGGCUUAGUGUUACCAGGUCAAAAAACCUGCAUUUGUUUAAAUGUGUAUGGGGUUUUCCUCUAACAAAACAUUGUAUCAUAUUAUACUUUUCAUUCUGCUGUUCUGUGGAAGGCUGUUGUGCCUCUUGCUCCAUUCUCUGAGAGCCCUGCACUGCUGCAGGUCGCUUGGGGAGGAGGAUGCUCCCACACAGCUGGGGAUCACCCCACAUCAGCACGGCACAGGAUGGAAGUGCAGGCUGAGUCAGGGUCUUUUAUCAGAAGCGAGUGAGCGCUGAAAACAGCCUCAGCUGCCCUGUCACUGGGUCACUUCUCUGGCUUCACCCUUGCACACCCAAAAAGUCACCCUGCCUUUUAGAGAGCCAGGGCUACAACUCCUUUGCAGCAAGAGGGAAGGAGGAGGGCAAGCUAUAUGUUUAUUUUUAGCAAAACCGCUUUCUGAUAUCUGUAUAUAAAAAGUGGAAGUCUUUUGGGCUGGAGGUUGGGUAAUGUUUUCUUUUUUUGCUUGUAAACCAGACAAAUGCAGAGAGUAGAGAAGAAGAAGCAUAUGUACUGCAAAUCAAAUCUCUUACCUACAAAGAUAUUAUGAUGUAGAAAAUGGCCCCUUAAUUUAAUUAGCCUCUCUUGUUAUCAAAUUAUUACCCGCAUGGUCAGCAAGGCCUGAGACAGAAGCAGAACAUAAUCAAGCUGCUCAGGAAGCCUGUUAAGUAGUAAUUGCACCUCUAGAGAAUCGAUCAACGUCAAGAUGGGGUUUUAUUUUAUGUUGUUGUUGUUGAAUAGUUCCAGGAAGAGACUUUGUCUGUUUUGAGGGUCCACAUGGCUCUGGCUUGGUGGUGGUGGUCGUUCAGGCUGCAAAAAAAUACGCAGCAGUGUUGUUGAUAAAUCAGAGUUUACCCUGUGUCUGACAUAAGCUAUUUUUGAAAUAAGUUUGGGCUCUAGUGUUACUAACAAACACUAACUGGUCCAAGUGAAAAGGUAAGCAAGCUGUUGAAUUCGUGCUUUGUGUAGUUUCCUUUAUUCACUUGUGUUGCUUUUACAUGUCAUGAGCAUAGCUCACAAACUAGUCUGAUCAGUGUUAUUAAUUUCCUUGCAACUAGUUCAGUUUUUAAAGUUUUGGGGAAAAAAAUAAUCUGGAAAUGUUGACAGUAUGAAGACUCUUAAGGCCAAGCUAAGGACAUUCUGUAACGAUCGCACUGAAUCACAUUGUUUCUUGUUUUUCUCUGCACAGUAACAUUUCUGUCUCAAAGCUACUUCAGUUUUCUUUUUAAACACUGUGAAAUUACCUAAUUUACAAUGAAACUGUGGAAAUAAUGCAGAGCAAGGCAAUCCACAUUUGCUCCUUGCAUCUUUGUCAAAGUGGCAGCAUGUUUUGUUUUCUAAGACAAUUCUGCAAGUUGCCUACCCACCUGAACUAAAGUCUCAAAUGAUUUAAAUUUUUUUUUUCUUUAAUUUAAAACUCAAAAAAAUCUAUAAAUAUUUCUGAUGUAGUAUAUUAAAUGGCAGAGCAGAAUGUAAUUAGUAUAUAAGCUUAAAGAAAAAAGUCUGGAUGUUAGAAAAAUGUUUUGACUUAAGUAAUUCGGUUAUCCUGGGGCAGAGAGAGAAGAACACAGCUUAGUUUAAUUUAUUUAUGUGUUAGCUCCAGAGAGAGAGAAAGUGAGCACUUUCAAAAAAAACAGGAUAGAAUACAUUUUUAUUGUAUUUUAUUCUAAUAAGCCAACUGGAGUUAGAUGGAGGGGCUCUGUGAAGGAACUGGUUUGGCAGAACUCAAUCUUAUGGUCCUAACUGUGACAACUUGGAAAGAUUAAGUGUUUUUUGGGGGGACAUAUUAUGCAUUACUCAGGAUAACUAAGAGCAAAAAUGUUUGCUAAGGUAGUGAUUUAUGGUGUGGAGUGUGUGUGUGGGGUGCAUGUUUUUUUUAAUGUAUGUUUGGGGUUUUUUUGGGGGGGGUGGGGGGCGGGUAGUGUUGGGUCCUUGGUUCUUUUUGUUGUUGUUUUUAAGUAUUCAGGAGUGAAAUGCAGUGUGAAAUGGAGUUGUGGUGGUAGCUGUUGAAGUGAGUACAGUGGCAGCGAGGAGACGGCUGAGCACAGCACAGCGGCUCUGGCAGCUGCCCUGCUGCCUUCCCAGCCUCGGCAAUUUGCAAGGCUGAGUCUGCACCAAGGGCCCAAUCACCAACCCCAUGGAAAAUUCCGUUUUAUAAUUUUGAGCUCUACAACAGCUUGUAGCAGCAAGUACCACAAUUUAUAAACUGAACAGGGGGGGUUGUGUGUGUGACAAAAGGUGUCUGUUUUAAACCUGCUGUUUACUGGGUCACUGACGUAGCUAUUUCUGGCCCGAGUCCCAUGCGGGGAGUGUCUGUGUCUCCAAACAUAAGCUCUUGGCACACUGAUGGGCUUCAUACUCUGCAGUAGCUUUCAGAGUCAGGUGGGUGCACCCAGCACAAACAACUGACCUCCCACUGAGCCCUGGAGAGAGCGAGUGAAAUAAAGGGCUUAAUAAUCUCCCUCGUAAUUUGGGUGCAGUUGGUUGUAUUCAGCCAGUGCUGUUGAUGUGCAUGCGGACAGGUCAUGGUUUAGCUGUUGCUGCAGGAAACCCGAUAGACUGCCUUGGCUAAAUCCUGCAGGACAGCACUGUUUACAGCGGUUGCCUUUCUGUCAUACAAACAGCUUCCAAGGAUGUGAGAAAAUUCAGCCCUUGUGGCCUGGCCCUUGCUGCUGCCUGUUGACAUUAAGGUGCUGAAGCUGCAGGAAACACAAGUUCUUUGACUUUCAUCAGAAAAACAACAGAAAACUGAACCCUGCGUACAGCAGAGAAACAGCUGAGUAUCAGGCACCAGAGAAACACAGACUAGGAAUAUCAGUAUGAAACCAGGAACAGAAAACAUCCUGCAUCCUCAGCAUCCUGGGGCUAGAAGUAAAAAGAAGUAAUCCCAUCCCUCACUAAAACUAAACUGAAAUUAAAAAAACCCACAAUUUGCCAAAUAGAAGGACCAGCACAAAUCCCCACUCCCCCAGUGCUUAUUUGCCAGUUCAGACCAGGAGCGGGGAUCUCUCUUUCUCCCAUUUUUUAUUUUAUUGUUAGUGCCUUUCUGCACUGCUCGUCUACGAGGCAGUUCCACACACAGAGCACAAAGAAUACAAGUGCACAGAGGGAUGAGGGUAACUGCAUCAUGAGCUGGUCUCAGGAGAGCUUCUCGCCCUGUCAUGUUUCUCCGAUGUUCAAGCAGCUGUGCCAGAAGACCAGAAGCCUCUGUGUGUGUGUGUCACAUGCGGCCUCGCACUUUCACUGUCUCUUGCCACAGACCCUAGAAAGGGGCGGGCUCCAGUUUUUCCAUCAAGGAUUUGAUCCAACUUGUUCCAUUGAUCAGUUUUGUCGUGGCAAUGACGUACUCGGUGCCUCCAUCUUCCAUUUGGGACAGAAACCUCAGUGCAGCUAUUUCUGCAUAGGUCACCCCUCCCAAGAAGAACACCAGAGUGACUCGGUUCUCACCAUGUUGACCUGCAUAUUCAAAGAAAUUAACAGGUUGUCUUAGUUUUAUUUUUAUGUCUCCUGUCCAUCAACUAUUAGUUAAGCUCAAAAUGAGCCUAACAGAGAUGCAUCUCCCUUUAAAAAGGGGAAAACAAAGCAAAACUUACGUUUUUUCUGAAGGCCAGUAGGUAACUGCUGCCUCUCCUCGAAAUGGGGACCUGGCAGCAUCUUUAACACCUCUUCUAUGCUCCGCCAGCCUGGCCGAGCCAGCAGCUGUGCCAGGCGUACGCUCAGUGGAGCAUAGCCACUGUACACGUAGGAGAUGUCAUUGGGGUUCUGCAAGAGAGAGAGAAGUGUGAGCAGCAGGCGAGCGCUAUCAUGGAAAUGAAGUGAAAUGAAAUAAAAUUAAAUAAUGAAAUAAAAUAAAAAAAUAAAGACGAAGGUUUUCCUGCUGCACAUAAUUCUGUAUUGUUAGAUGCAACAUUCACUGCUGAGGUGGCUGUUUACCUGUUCAUUAACAUCAUCCAUCCACAAGCGCAGGGUUUUCCUGAUUGUUGGGUAGUUAUUCCUACCACUUGUCUGAGGCUUCAGGAGUCCAGCCUUUUCUAAGUUAUUUAAGGUCAAUAUAUGCUCAUAGCCGUAAGUCUGAAAUAUGAAGAAUUCACCUUUAAUAUACCAUGUCAAUAAUCUGUGACCAGGGUGUUAAAAAAACCAAAACAAAACAACAAAGAUAUUAAUUUUAAAAAGGUUUUUUUUGGUUAAGAUCUCUGUAGAGUGUAUCCCAUUUACAGUGUUUGAAUUUUUUCAGAAAUCUUAUCAAUUCAAAAGUCAGAGCCCAACCUGGAGAAUCUCUCUUUUGUAAUGGUCCAGAACCUUCUGUUUCAGUCCACUAUUGCAUACAGAUUGCAAGCAAACAAGGCGUAAGAUCUUGAUUAAUGGAUGUUUUUGAGCUAUGCAGUCUUCAAUAUAAUUAUUAACCUAUUUAAAAAAACAACAACAACAAAAAGCAUAAGCUGUUAUUUAAAGAUCUGUUAAAGUACUGAGAAGACCUCAAAAGAAAGAUCUAGUUUUGCCUAAUAUGUCCGAAACAGCAAGAAAGAGGGUGCAGCUGCUCUCCAGGCAGCUCAAGCCUGUCUAUAAAGUAGCGAUCUAGCACUGGUUCCCCUGGCAUCUUUUCUAAAGCAUGUUGAUUCCACACUCAAUUAUCUAGACUGUGUCUGAUGCAUUAAAAAAGCUCUGAUGAACGGUCCCGAAUCUUUCACUGAUCCCUCAGGGCAUGAAGUGCCCCAGCUGUGUACACCUGUGUUACAGGCAACAAUAGGAAAAAACCUGCAAGUGUGCACGAAGACAUGUAAGAACUCACAACCUAGACAACUGAUGGAGACAGACAUCAUCUAGAUCAGGUUUCCUCUUUCAAAAACCCCAAAUGGAAAAAAAAAAACAAACAGAGAAAUACAUUGUUGGCUAUUUUUGAGGACACAAGAGUCACUAGUUGUCAUUACCUUGUCUGUGUCUAUUCCAGACAUGAACUCUUGUUCCACUGUUAAAUUAUCAAAGAAAUCUUCAGAUGCUGUGAGAGAAGAAUGAAAAUCAAUAGAGUAGCAACCAAUAGCUUAUUUUCUACAUUUAACAUUUCAGCAGAUGCACUGGAUGGAGCAAAGCAAAUUUUUGCCAAGCUGAAUGACGUCCAUCAAGUCAUCUUGCUAUAUUUAAAUUACUCUGAUAGACUGCUCAACAUAUACUCACUGGUGAUGUCUUUGAUGAGUUCUGCAAUGGAAGUGUGGUUCGCUAGAGAACUUCUUGCCGCCUGCAUGUGUGGCAGCUGUGACACAAACUGCUUAAUCUCUCCAACGGUUUUUGCGUGAUGUCUUUCCUAAAUAAAUCCAUUGCUCAGGUUAGGGCUUGUUCACAUUAAUUGGCCACACGUCAACUCGAUCAUUUUAUAAUGAAAAAGAAUUUUACUCACUGCAACAGCAGAUACUGUUAGAGAUAUGCAGCCUUUAGAGAAAAUACAUUACAUGCUUAGCCUAAAGUCACAGCAUUAUCUGUAACAGCACUUUGACCAUUAAAAUAGGCAGGACAUAAUACAACACAAUCAUUAGACUGUUUUUUUCCCAUUAAACCAGUAUUGCAAAUCACUUUUCUCCACCUUUGUCUGACUUCAGCCAUCAGGAUCUGCUCAAAGCAGUAGUGAAAGCUGCUGAGGAACUGGGCUGGCAUUGUCUGCGUCCCUCGCAAACAGAAGCCUGCCAGUCACUGUACCUGGUGGUAACAGUGCCCCAGGUUUGGGGCAAGGAUGUGAUGAAGCACAAUGCAGACUUCAGCUCUCAGAGCAGUCCACAGGUCUGUAUUUCCUUUGGGCUACUUGGGAUAAAAAUAAUAAUUUGACUCAUAUGUGAAGGACUUAAAUGGGCAAGUACAGGCAGGAGAGCGAUAAUGAUGAAGCCUGCAACUUAAGAAGUCCUCUGCUGCUGUUUCAUUAUCACCUAUUACCCCAGACAAUUUCUUAAUUUUUUUUUUUAAUUAACAACUAGUAUGAAUAAUCCAUCUUUAGCACCGUCAGCACUAAUAUUGCAGUAACAGACAUUUACUGAGACCUGAGGCUGAGCACACAGUAUUUCAGUUAAGGUACUGCUACCUCACCUUAAAUGUGGCAGAAGUGAAGAGGCAAAGAUAAAAAUAAGGAAAUACCAUCAAACAGUGUAACAAGUUCUCUUGAGAAUCACCAUCAAGUCUGAAAGCAGAGAUAUGGGAUCUCAGGUUCUUUAUGAAUCAUCAACAGGAUGUUUUCAAACAAAACUGCAAACACACCUCACAGCACUCUCCAGCUUUGUCUAAGGUGACACAUGAGCAUGAAUUUACAGGUCAAACCUCCUGUAAGACAACCGUCUUCUUCCUAUUCUUAUCUGUUUUUAUGCCAGCCAUAAACUCUAUGGGUACAUUCUGGAGUUUUAUUUCUUAAAGCAUUUUCUCUGCAUCUUCAGUAAAUACAAAGGGAAAAAGAACUUUCUGUUAACAGGUAACAACAGCAACAAAGUGGAAUUGAUCAGUUCGCUCAAAUUCACCUUUGGCCUCUUGCAGAGGGAAGCAGCACCUGACUGUUCUGCAGACUUAGCUGAGGCCAAGAAAGCCCUGGGGAUGCACAGCUGGGUACAGGCCUCACCUCAAAGGCUGCUGAGAUGAUCUUGGCUUUCUUGCUCAGCACAGACCCCACAGCAUUGAAGUUCUUGUCUCGGAUUUCUGCGUACAGCUCUUCAGCAGAGUUCAGCUGGAGCUUCUUGGGUUCCGUGGGGAGAUCUUUCCCACCCUCACCCUGCUUCUUCGGGGCAAACUUCUCAGGAGGGAGUUUCACGUAAGCUACCAAAAGCAGAGAGAUAACCCUUAUAGAGACUGAAUGUUCAGCACCAGAAGUUAAAAGAUAAGCAGGCUGUGGAAAUGUGUCCCAAGCUGGAAACAGUUCUGAGCAGCAAAGCUAAUUAAAUGCCCAGAUGACUCAGCGUAUGUGUUAAUAAAGGAGAGUCUCCCUGUACUCACCCAGGGACCCUAAUACCUAUACAUAUACACAUUAUCAGAACCCAGGUGCUAGCUACCCUGCUACCCUGUCCUCAGCUCCCCUUCCUAGGAAAAAAGAGGCAGAACUGAUCUUGACGGGCUCUAGCUUGGGACAGAACCAUCCCUGCACCAAGUUCAGGUGAGCUGCUCCCACGUCACUGUCACUCAGUGAAACAUAAACCCACCUGACCCAGCAUGACCUGCUCAAGCACACCAGAGACCUCCCCGUUCUCCGGCCGUACUCACUGUUCUGAAUUCCGUAGAUUUCGUCUAUCAGCCCUUCGUACGUCAGCUGCGUAGCUAACGGUGUCAGCAGAUCGACGUUGCGGUCCAGCAACAACAGGGUAUCAAAGACGGGAAAUAUUGAGUUCUGGCUUCCAGGGAACUCACGCUUCAUCCUGAUCAUCAUAUUAGCCACGUGCUGAAAAUAAAUUGUGUUGGGCUGGUUACGGUGCAGGUCAUAAUAGAGGGAUCCAAUUUGUAGGCCACACAAGCACACGCUCGUGCAAGUGUGGGGCACAGCCCUGUGUAAAGGAAGAGAAUGGCAGGAGGUACAAACCCGCUGACAGUCCUUGCCUGUCUCUGCACUUAGCAAGACAGCGACUGUGGCUGAAGAUCUGGGCUCAUCUCAAGCCACUCAUUCAUUACAAAAGUUACCGAUUAUAUGGUAUUGAUCAGAGAGAGGAAAAAAAAGGUGAGUUAUAGGGAGAGAUGAAAAAGCAAAGGCAUGAGCAGUAGGUUACACAUUUCCCGCUUUAUGCAGACAUUCUGAUACCAACAGAGCAAGUCUUAAAAUUUCACAGAAAGAACUGCUGAAAACACGAAGGCAGUGUACAUGUGAGCAAAACAUACGAAAUCAGAUAAAUCCUCCUGACAGGAAGACUUACGGAACACCAAAUACUGUUCUUUUGGCCAGACAUGAUAAAGACCUGAUGGCUGUGAUCCCAAAAUGCCAAUAUGACAAGAUAGGUCUGUGGCUGGAUUCAAAAUCCCACAAAGGCAUUUAACCGAACACACUUUAACGCAGUUCGAAAGAACAAGGUGCAGUUUUUAAGCAGCAGCAUUUGCCUUACCCGGGCACACUCGCCCUUCCCAAAAAUCUGUGGGAUGGUUCCGUAGAGAGCUUGCAGCGUCAUCAGCCCCUUUGCCGCGUGGUACAGACUUGUCUGGUCGCUCUCCAGGUAACAUUCCUAAACAACAAGAAGGAUUCCCCAUGGAAGGUGUCAGAGCUGCUUCCACAGCAGAAUGUGGUCCAUGUGAACAGUUCAGAGGAGAUGCAGGCUGGGCAAAAACUAUGGCCGUUGGCACAUAUGCACCUUUUCUGUGCUGUCACAACAUCAAAUUGUUUGAUCAAACCAGACACUAAUAUUUCUGAAUCUCACACUCCCAGUUCGAUGGAGAGUAGUAAGAGAGACAGAAAAUGAGUGCAAAGAGCCUCUCCCUCUAAUUAGGCCACUCUGAGAGCACAACACCUCGUCACAGCUGCCGACAAGCUGCAAGCCCUGAUGCAUCCUCUGGGAUAAUAAGGCAGAGAUGACCAAAGGAACUCUUUAAACCUUUCUGUCCCCAGAUGCAUCGUUCUGAGAAAACAGGAUACACGGCUGGUAUGGGGCAGCUAAUUCUCGGUGCAGCUUACUGUGCAGUUUUAACCAUCAUAUGCAGCUCUUCGGCUGCAUAUUCACACAAACUGUGCUGGCUCUUUGGAACAACUAGGAGUUUUAGGCCUCAUAAAUGCUCAAUGUGUGACAACACCAGCAGUUCAAGCUGGAGGAACCGGAGUGCAUCUUGGUGUAGUGUUUAGUCAGAAAACAGAGAAUUUCAGGCUCAACUUACCUUGAACGCGCUCUCAGACUCCAUGGAGAGCAGGUCUCCAUCGAAGGGUAUCAGGUCCAGGCUGUACUGCUCCCGGUGGAUGAAGGAGCCCAGCACGCCCUGCUCCUUCAGCCACUGCUCGCACAGCAGGCUGCGGCGCGGCACAAAGAGGAUGUGGAAAUCCCUCUGGGGAGAGCGGCCUCUGUCUUCCCUACGAGAGUCACAGGAGGAAGGAGCACAGCAAACGGUAACUGCGCUGCACA
Molecule: long non-coding RNA, 11122 nt
Organism: Columba livia (rock pigeon)
Lineage: Eukaryota; Metazoa; Chordata; Aves; Columbiformes; Columbidae
Exons: 2
Source: RefSeq, a predicted model, not a curated record